GCGCGGCCUGGAGUUGUCGAAAAACGGAUUCAAAAUCCGCCGCUGGAAACAGUGUGUCGGUUCGAGUCCGACCACCGGCACCA
RNAcentral lists this transfer RNA (83 nucleotides) under Halomonas sp. YLB-10. RNAcentral's name for it is "tRNA-OTHER". Lineage: Bacteria; Pseudomonadati; Pseudomonadota; Gammaproteobacteria; Oceanospirillales; Halomonadaceae. The record is from RNAcentral.